GGGCAGCGCCGACAGGCGCCCAGAUGGGUGCCACAGCUGUCCCUUUGGGCACAAAGCAGCUCCCCUUAGCCAAAUAAGGAGGGAGAGGCGUCUCAGCUCCACAUGCCCAUUGCAUAAUUGUCAAAUAUGCCUGUAAUACAAUUGAGUCAGAGGGAAUUAUUGCUGCAGCACAGUUGCUUUGGGAAGCCUUCCUCUUGUAGGCUGAACUGCAACUAUCAAAUCUCUGUUGGUUUGUCUGAAAGAAGAUCAUGGCAGUGAUGUCUUUUCACUAAAAAGAAUAGUUUCCCUCUUUGCUGUCAUUGAAAAGAAAUACCAACUAGCCAAACUCAUUCUUUACCAAGUCUCCCUGAAAAUGGAACAUUUUUGGACAAAAUAACUGUAAUUCAAACUGCAGCAGCCAGUGCUGUGCCUGCUUUGGUACCCAGCCAGUGAAUUUUCAAGUAAACACCCUCCAGGACUGUUCUCCAUUUGGAUUUAUUAGUCAUUACCAAGAAAAGAUAAUUAGCACUUCUGAAGCAUUGUGCUAAUCAGCAGCACGAAGUGUUUCCAAUAGAAACGGCCGGGGUCCUUGCGUGGCGCAGGAUCUGCGGCUCCGCGGUACUCCCUGUACGGAAUGAGCACACGGUGGGCAGACCUCAGCUGGGGGAAUGCUCACAACCAACUGCUCCAGGGGCGCUAAUGACACUGUACACGGGGCAAGGCAGGGAGGGGAGCUGUUCCCUGGCCUGCUGGGCUUCUCCUUCUGUUAUCCUGCAGGCAGAGUCACUUUUGUUACAAUGUGCAAUCCUCCUUGUUGGUCAAAGGCAACGGCACACACCACUCCUUUACUGCACAACAGGAAAAUAGAAGAGCAUUUCAAGCCAAUACAAUACCCUUCCAGCCAAGAGAUACUUUGCAUCCUCUGGGAAGCAUGCAGGAAAUCUCGGGAUUGAGUCCAGCAUGUAUGCAAAGUACUUUGCCUGUGGGAGCUGCGGUGUGGUGAGCUGGUAGAGAGUACCAAAAACCUCUGAUUCCUGCUGAUGGUGGCCUUUACUCAGGCACAUCUUCCCUGCCACACAUGGAGCAGAGGCUCUUAGGACUGAGACUCCAAUGCCAGCAACACUCAUUAAUACACACAAGAUGGGACCACCCUGGCAACAUCUGACUUGUUGAUGCACUCAAAGUAUUCAUUAAUGUUUGCCCCUCUUCCAGGAA
This is a long non-coding RNA of Passer domesticus (house sparrow), 1194 nucleotides long. RefSeq lists it as uncharacterized. The transcript is spliced from 2 exons. The record is from RefSeq and is a predicted model, not a curated record. NCBI's taxonomy places the organism in Eukaryota, Metazoa, Chordata, Aves, Passeriformes, Passeridae.